RNAcentral lists this ribosomal RNA (45 nucleotides) under Escherichia coli K-12. Its description in RNAcentral is "Helix 34 of 16S rRNA from Escherichia coli K-12 (PDB 1MVR, chain A)". Lineage: Bacteria; Pseudomonadati; Pseudomonadota; Gammaproteobacteria; Enterobacterales; Enterobacteriaceae. The record is from RNAcentral.
AGGUGCUGCAUGGCCGUCGUCAACGACGUCUGGUCAGCAUGGCCC